GAAAUGCGAUAAGUAGUGUGAAUUGCAGAUGUAACGUGAAUCAUCGAAUCUUUGAACGCACAUUGCGCCCCCUGGUAUUCCGGGGGGCAUGCCUGUCCGAGCGUCAUUGCUGCCCUCAAGCACGGCUUGUGUGUUGGGCUUCCGUCCCUGGCAACGGGGACGGGCCCAAAAGGCAGUGGCGGCACCAUGUCUGGUCCUCGAGCGUAUGGGGCUUUGUCACCCGCUCCCGUAGGUCCAGCUGGCAGCUAGCCUCGCAACCAAUCUUUUUAACCAGGUUGACCUCGGAUCAGGUAGGGAUACCCGCUGAACUUAAGC
RNAcentral lists this unclassified non-coding RNA (315 nucleotides) under plant metagenome. RNAcentral's name for it is "partial contains 5.8S ribosomal RNA, internal transcribed spacer 2, and large subunit ribosomal RNA". The stretch from base 1 to 106 matches the Rfam family "5.8S ribosomal RNA", at positions 50 to 154 of the family's 154-position model. The record is from RNAcentral.